GAAAUGCGAUAAGUAAUGUGAAUUGCAGAAUUCAGUGAAUCAUCGAAUCUUUGAACGCACCUUGCGCUCCUUGGUAUUCCGAGGAGCAUGCCUGUUUGAGUGUCAUGAAAUUCUCAAACCUUUCAUUAUUUUCUUUAAUGAGAGAGUUUGGAUGUGGAAGUUUGCGGGUCUCUAGAAAUGGAGGUCGGCUCUUCUCAAAUGCAUUAGCAAGGACCUUAUCCUUUUGUUGGCCUUGGUGUGAUAAUUAUCUAUGCCAUUGGCUUUAGGAUGUGGGUUUGGCUUUCUAAUGAGUCCUCCUUCGGGGGACAAUAUUUCUGAUACCUUUGACCUCAAAUCAGGUAG
Molecule: ribosomal RNA, 342 nt
Rfam family: 5.8S ribosomal RNA (bases 1-105)